CACGCCGUAAACUAUGGGUGCUAGCCGUCGGAUAGCUUGCUAUUCGGUGGCGCAGCUAACGCAUUAAGCACCCCGCCUGGGGAGUACGGCCGCAAGGUUAAAACUCAAAGGAAUUGACGGGGGCCCGCACAAGCGGUGGAGCAUGUGGUUUAAUUCGACGCAACGCGAAGAACCUUACCAGCUCUUGACAUUUCCUGACUGGUUCCAGAGAUGGAAUCGUCCCAGCAAUGGGCAGGAGGACAGGUGC
RNAcentral lists this ribosomal RNA (247 nucleotides) under uncultured Hyphomicrobiaceae bacterium. RNAcentral describes it as "partial 16S ribosomal RNA". It matches the Rfam family "Bacterial small subunit ribosomal RNA", at positions 796 to 1041 of the family's 1533-position model. The record is from RNAcentral. Lineage: Bacteria; Pseudomonadati; Pseudomonadota; Alphaproteobacteria; Hyphomicrobiales; Hyphomicrobiaceae.